RNAcentral lists this ribosomal RNA (397 nucleotides) under uncultured bacterium. RNAcentral's name for it is "bacterial SSU rRNA". It matches the Rfam family "Bacterial small subunit ribosomal RNA", at positions 505 to 898 of the family's 1533-position model. The record is from RNAcentral.
GUGUCAGCAGCCGCGGUAAUACAGAGGGUGCGAGCGUUAAUCGGAAUUAUUGGGCGUAAAGCGCAUGUAGGUGGUUGAGUAAGUUUGAUGUGAAAGCCCCGGGCUUAACCUGGGAAUAGCGUUGAAUACUGCACGACUUGAGUCGGACAGAGGGCAGUGGAAUUUCCGGUGUAGCGGUGAAAUGCGUAGAGAUCGGAAAGAACACCAGUGGCGAAGGCGGCUGCCUGGGUCCAGACUGACACUGAGGUGCGAAAGCAUGGGGAGCAAACAGGAUUAGAUACCCUGGUAGUCCAUGCUGUAAACGAUGAGAACUGGAUGUGCGGAGGGGAUUAACCCUUUGCGUAUCGAAGCUAACGCGUUAAGUUCUCCGCCUGGGGAGUACGGCCGCAAGGCUAAA